UUUGAAACAGGGAGAUAUCUGGAGAUUGCGGGUUCAAGUCCCGUCGGGGUCG
Molecule: transfer RNA, 52 nt
Filed under: Galdieria sulphuraria
Lineage: Eukaryota; Rhodophyta; Bangiophyceae; Galdieriales; Galdieriaceae
Description: tRNA-Arg
Source: RNAcentral